Molecule: long non-coding RNA, 2340 nt
Filed under: Olea europaea subsp. europaea
Lineage: Eukaryota; Viridiplantae; Streptophyta; Magnoliopsida; Lamiales; Oleaceae
Source: RNAcentral
UUGAGCUACAGCAAACAUUCGAUUUUCAAACUAUGCUGACGACACUGUGAAUGGUAAUGUUAAAAUUCAAUUGAUCAUCUUGUACAAGAUAGAGUGAACUUCCAUUAAGUUUGAACACGAUUUUAGAAAGAGCUUAGAAAGAGUGUAUUGCAAUUUAUGAAAGAUAUCUUCCAUACGAAAAUAAUAACAUGGUUACUUAUUCAACUUCUGAACAAAUGCCAAGUCUUCAAGCAUGAAAUUGAUAUGAAAAAAGACACAAGUUCACUCUCUUUGAGCCAUUAAUGAACUUCUUCUGUCCUUCCUGCAAAUAGAGCAAAAUAAAUAAUUACUUCAUGCUUAAACAACACUUGUCAUUUCUUAAAUAAUAUUCACCUCCUCCAAGAUCAUGAGAACAUCAUACGUUCCACGUAAGAUGGCCAAAAAAGAACUGAGAUUUCCCCCUCUAUCCUUCUCAAAAAGGACAGUAUACUUAUUUUUGCAUCGUACCCAAGCACGCUACAAACCCUUCCAGUUGUGCAAUAUCAAGUAAUCAAAGCCAACUCAUAUAAGUGAUUAAUGGUGGAUAAUCAUGUCUCAAAGCUCAAAGCCAAAGGUGCUAAAGUAUUCUACCCAAUAAUGUAAAUGAGAAAGUUCAAAUAUCAAUGCAAUUUAAAUCAACAUAAAUCCAAUAUCGUAUUCACCAUUAUAUGAAUUUCUUGAUAUUUUGAAUGCACUCAAUAUCUUCCGACCCCCCCCCAACCCCCGCCCAAAAAAAAAAGCACUAAGGAAUUAGAGUUUUCUGACAUCCAAGUAUAAUAUAUGAAUGCAUCCAAGUUCUUGCACUUAUUAUCACUUUUCCCAGCUGUUCCAUGUGGUAAUAGAGUUAGUACUUCUCAAUUUAAUUGGAGUAUGAUUUAUAUUCAUCUUUGAGCUAUCUAAAUGACACGACCCGUCCCGAAUCAUCCUAAUAAACCCGACACGUGUCGUGUGCAGAUGGUAGAUACCAGUUAAGUGCCGGACCUACCAUCAAGGCAACAUUGACUUGUAUUGACUAUGAUAUGCUUUGUAAAAAUUUUGGCAGAGUUCCUCCUGAAUUAUAGACUAAAAUCACCUGAAAUAUAUAAUCCAAUAUCCCAAACAGAUACAUGUAGCUUAAAAUAGGGUACACUGGCUCACAGAAAAUCAACUAUUCAAAUACAACACUGGCAAUUUGACCUUUGCAACAAUUUAUAAACCAUAGUACCCAAAAUGCAUAAUAUAUACAAAACAUAGCAGGCCCAAAAUAUGGAACUAAUUUCUAACCAAAAGAGGUAUCUAUUCCAAAAUAUGAGCUAUUACCCUGAUAAGAUGAGUCAUACAAUGCUUGACAAUUUAUAGUUCAACUUGAUAGAUCAAUUGGCCCAGUAGUGCUCAGCUCAGCUACUAUCUAUCUGAUAAGGAAAAAGGGUAAAAGCAAUAUGAGCUAAUAGCUCGGUGAGUGGAUAAUUUGCAAAUAAGUAAACUUUUUCCAUUUAUGCAUAUUUUCUUAAAAUUCUUGCUCUAUUAACACUAUGAGAAUUCUGAAAUCUGAUAAAACCUUUAGAACUAAAACAUGACUGCAUCAUAAGAUUCUUUGUUCUUUAUUCGAGAUAAAUAACUAUAAAGUAUAACAAAUUUUGGUACCCAUAAUAAUCUAUGAAAUAUUGUUGUUACUCAAUACUAUAAACUGAAAACUUUAUUCUUAGAACUGAAUAACUGAAUUCUAUAAUCUGGUCAUACAUACAUAGAGCUACAUUUACCUUAAUGUACUCAUUAUUCUUGAUGUGUGUAUCAUAACAUCGUAUAAACUCAAAAUUCUGGUACUAAAUCAUAAAUUAGACUCAAGUUGAUAUAUAAAAGAAAGAUGAUAAUAAUUAAUACAAGAUGAGUGAGAACAUUAGACAAACUCACUAAGCUAAAAUCAUCAUCCGAAAUCCAUAAGCUGAACUCUAAACGGGAAAAUGUAAGCUGAAAGCUAAUAAUCCACUAUAUACUUAAAAUUCACAUCAAAAUAUACUCCAUGUAAUCAUCUACUGAUGAUCUGAAAGCUAUAAAAUCAUAUGCACAUAAACCAUCUGAUCAACACUCUGUACACGACUGUAGCCCCUCAGUGUACAAGAUGAAAAUAACAUAAUCAUCCUUAUACACGGCUGUAGCCCCUCAGUGUAUAAUAGGUACCCUUACACACGGCCGUAGCCCCUCAGUGGAUAAGAGUUACCUUUAUACACGGCUGUAGCCUCUCAAUGUAUAGGAGUUAAAUACAUGACUCUAGUACACGGCCGUAGCCCCUCAGUGCACUAGAGUAAGAUAAUCACAUCAAUUAUUUAAAUGAUAAUUUCAAAA